Non-coding RNA from Malus domestica (apple), 4722 nucleotides. The record is from RefSeq and is a predicted model, not a curated record. NCBI's taxonomy places the organism in Eukaryota, Viridiplantae, Streptophyta, Magnoliopsida, Rosales, Rosaceae.
UGAAGUAAUUCUCAAUCUCUCUCUAUAAACUUCUUCUUUUUUAUGUGUCUUAUCUGUUUAUAUCUGCUUGGUUAACAUGGUAUAUUCGUCGGAAAAGCUUCAAGUUUGACGGUAUUACGAUCUUGGAUUCUUCGCUUCUGCUUCCUUGUUGCUAUUUCCCUCUACAUAUCUUUUGAUUCUCUUUGAUCUCAUCUCUGAUGUUAGGGGUUUUUUGUAUCCUAUAUUUGUGAGUAUAUAUGUGUGUUCUCUUACACACAAAAGGUGUUUGAUAAAAGUUCUCAGCCAAUUCUUUCUUUGGUUUGGAUCUCUGUCUAUCACAAUGGUGAUGACAUCUCAAUUGCAGAUCUUGCAAUUGCCAAUAUGUCCUUGGUUUCUUCAAUUUUGACUUUUGUUACUAUGAAGCUCGAUGAUUUAGACUACUUGCAUUGGCAUUUCCAUAUGCAAUUGUUGCUUGAUGGCUAUGGCAUCGUUAGUUUAUGGAUGAUUCUACUCUUUAUCCUAAAUGAUUUCUUGAUACCAACUCUGGUGAUUCUGAGGUUAAUUCUGAAGGAUCAUUUACUCGGUGUGAAUCUGAGGUUAUCUCAUGAUAUUAUCUCAUGUGCAAUUGGAAGCAGUAGUUCUCAAGACUUAUGGAAUCGUCUCAAGAAAAAAUUCUCCACAAUUACUCGAAUCAAUAUUUUCCAGAUGAAAUCUGAAUUGCAAAUGAUUAAGAAGGGUAAUAAUUCUAUCAAUGUCUAUUUACAAAGAAUUAAAGAAGCUAUGGAUUAUCUGUCUGCUGCUCGAGAAUGUUUUGAUGAUGAUGAUGAUAUUGUGUCACUUUGAAUGGACCACUUGCUGAAUAUAAUACAAUUAGAUCUGUAAUUAGAUAGCACGAAGCUGUCAUUUCUUUAAAGGAUCUUCGGUCUCAAUGUUGACAAUGUAUCUGCUACUCAAAUGCUUUCUGCUUUAGUAGCUGAUACAAAUGAGUUUAAUUCUAAGUUUAGAGGUUCUUACAGUACACAACAUAAUCAUUCUUCUUUCAAUUUUGGUGGUUACAAGUCCACUAACAACAAGAACAAAGGUAGAUGUUUUCUCAAAACUUCAAUUUUGGUGGUUACAAGUUCUUUGGUUGUUCAAAAUCACUCUAUUCUAAGUCAACAUCUGUAAUUCUUGGUACUUGUCCACCAAAGUAGAAAGUUGAUGUCCUUCCUUUGCAUAAUUGUCAAAUACGUUGCAAAAAUAAUAAUCUUGUCGAUACAUGUAGAUUCAAGAAUGCUGCUACUUCUCAAGUAUGUCAAAUAUGUGGAAAAAACAACCAUUUUGCUAAUACUUGUUAGUUCAGAAUUAAUGCAGUUUCUCAAGGUUGUUAUAUUUGUGGAAAUCCUCAUUAUGAUGCAGUAUUUUGUUUUCAGAAGAACUCUUCUCCUAUAAGUGCAUUGCAUGUCAAUAAUCAUUCUCCUUCUCCACCUCCCCAAAUGUCAUAGUACUUCUUAAAAUGUGUUGAUCACCGAUUCAGGAGCGACAAACCAUAUGACAAUUGACUUGAAUAACUUGUCUAUUGCAACUCUAUACCUAUCCAAUGAGAUAAUCCAAACAGCUUAUGGUGAAGGUUUAUCAAAAUCACAUAUUGGUUCCUCCCUUCUUAACCCUUCAUUGCAGCCUUUGAAAUUAAAUUCAGUGUUAUAUGUGCUUAAAUUGCCUCAGAAUUUGGUCUCAGUUCAUAGAAUAUGUUUGGAUAUAACUGCUGGUUAAUCUUUUAUGUUUUUUUCUUUUAGAUUCAAUACAAAACCAUAAGGAGGAUUCUCUUCAAAGAACUGUGUAGUAAUAUAUUGUACCCUAUACCUUCAUUAACUCAUUCCGGUUCAUAAAAGCAAGUGUUUGGUGCUGCUUAUCUUUGACAACAAGUUACAUCCAAUAUUUGGCAUAAUAGGCUAGGUCAUCAUUUUAAUCUCAUAGUCUCUUAAAUGUUAAGAAAAUCAAAUAUGUCUCUUGCCUAUGAUAUUAUACCUAUGUUGUUUCACAGAUGUCUAGAAGGCAAGUUCACAAAGCUUCCUUUCAAUACUAACGUGUCAAGCCUGGAUAUCCAUUUGAGGUUGUUCAUAGUAAUGUGCAGAGCCCAUCUCCUUGUGUUUCUAUUGAAAGUUUUAAAUACUAUAUAACCUUCAUUUAUGAGUGUACUAGAUAUUGUAGGAUUUUUCCAUUAUGCAACAACAGUGAUGUAUGUUCCACUUUUGUCUCCUUUUAUAAUUUCAUUCUUAAUCACUUUAAUGUUUCCAAUAAGACCUUACACAGUGAGGGGGGGGUGAAUACAUAGGAAAAGCUUUCAAAACCUUUUGGUUAGAUAAAGGAAUUAGCCAUCAUAUGUCAUGUCCUUAUACAAUGGAAAGCUGAAAUGAAGCAUAGAUAAAUCAUUGAAAUUACCAUUACACUUUUACAAACAGCCUCAGUACCUCCUUUUUUUCUGGUCUUUUGCUUGCCAAACAUUUGUUUAUCUUAUCAACAAAAUGCUAACAUCUACUUUACAUCACAGAUCUCCAUUUGACGUUUUGUUAAAGUCUGUUCCUGAAAUUCAACAUCUCAGAGUGCUUGGUUGUUCAUGUUUUCCAUUGUUAAGACCGUAUAAUAAUACCAAGUUGCAAACUAAAACCACAAAAUGUGUCUUUCUAAGAUAUGCCUCUAAGUUCAAAGGCUAUGUUUGUUACGAGGUAUCCAAAAAGAGAAUGUGCAUCUCUAUACAUGUAUUAUUUGAUGAGUCUGAGUUUCCAUAUCUCACAUUAGUGAACUAAGUCUCACACAAAGCAUCACAUUUUCCUUAUCAACCAAUCUAACCUCUAAUACCAGUCUCAAAUCAUAGUAAUGUUUUGGUUGUUCCUCAAUCAAAUGAGUUUACUACAAUUACUCAUGAUUCCAUUCAGUUCGUACCUCAUACAGCUGUUGAGUCUAGUUUGGCUCCUAUGCAUAUACCAUAUAUUACAUCUAGCCAUGACACUGCAACGAAAGAUCUGCAUCUCAAUCAUCUUGCUCCCUAUCUCCGUGGUACUUGAAUUCCAUCCUAAGAGCUUUCAAGUUGUCCUAUCCAUUCCACCUCUCAAUUUGUAUCCUAUGCAAACAAGGUCCAAAUGUGGAAUUUCAAAGAAAAUGGCAUUGGUAUUUGAAUUCAUGAAAACAGGGGUAUUUAACUAAGGUUGAACAUGGUACUUAUAAUCAGCCUUGAAAUCUUCAAUAUGGGUUGCUGCUAUCUAAGAGGAACCUUUAGCUUUAUAUUCUCAAGGGACAUGGUCUUUGGUUGCACUUCCUCUCAGAAGGAACUUAGUUAGUUGUAAGUGGGUCUUUAAGAUAUAAAAGAAUGCAGAUGGUACAAUUGGGAAUAUAAGGCUAGGUUAUUAGUUGCUAGAAGGUUUAACCAAUAAGAGGAAAUUGAUAAUGGUGAAACCUUUAGUCCAGUAGUCAAGCCUACAAUUGUGAGGUUAGUUCUUACCUUAGUUGCUCAUUAUGGUUGGUCCUUAAGACAUUUAGAUGUUAAAAAUGCUUUUUUUACAUAGUGUGUUACAAGAAGAGGUAUAUAUGGUUGAAUCACCUGGAUUUGUAGAUGCUCAUCAUUCUGACCAUGUUUGUAGACUUCAUAAGUCUUUAUAUGGGUUGAAACAAGCUCCAAGAGCUUGGAAAGAAAGAUUUACAAGGUUUCUUUCUUCUUUGGAUUCUCAUACUACUCAGGCUUAUUCCUCAUUUUGUGGUUAUUAUAUGUGGAUGAUAUUAUCAUUACUGGAAAUGCUACUAUUGCUAUAGUUGAUGUUAUCACUGCUCUUACAAAAGAAUUUGAUGUAAAGACUUGUUGCCCUUACAUUUUUGGGUAUUCAGAUUGUUCAAAAACAGGAUGCCAUUAUUCCAUAAUUGUAUAGAAGUUUCGUAUGCGCCCUUCAGUACCUGACAUUUAUAGGACUUGACUUUGCUUUUGCAAUGCAUCGGGUAUGUCAGUUUAUGCAGUGUCCCAUGGACUCUCAUUUUGUAGCAGUCAAAUGAAUUAUUACGUACUUGAGAGCAACAAAGGGCUAUGGUCUACAUUAUGUUAAAGAAUAUUAGACUUGAGAGGUUUCAGUGAUGCAGAUUGGGCAAGUGAUCCUAAUGAUAGAAGGUCUACUACUGGGAUGGUUGUGUUUUUGGGUUCCAAUCCCAAUUCUUGGUCUUUUAAGAAACAACAAACUGUUUUCAGAUCCUCCACUAAAGCAGAGUACAUGGCUUUGUCCACCACUGCUGUUGAGAUUAAUUAGAUCAAAAAGUUGCUUACAUUUCUUUAUGUUCCGUUCUAUGUUCCUCCAACACUCUUCUAUGACAAUCUUUUAGCUAUAGCCCUUACUUGUAAUCCAGUUAUGCAUUAGAGAACCAAACAUAAUCAAAUUGAGGUUCACUUUGUGAGGAAAAAGUUGCUAAACAUUUGUUGCAGGUUCAAAUUGUUUCCUCAAUUGAAUAGUUUGCUGACAUUUUGACAAAAUGGUUUUUUGCUCCUUUAUUUUAGAUACAUUGCUCCAAUCUCAGGCUUCAUUUCUCUGCUCUUGAGACAGAGGGGGAAUGUUAGGAAUAAAAAUUGAAUUAAUGGUUGUGAUGUUGGCGAGUGUCAAUAAAUUAGUUAGUUAUGAGUUGUAAGGAUUGUUUACUUUGUAAGCAAUCAUAGUUUAGACUAUACCUCUAUAAUAGUUGUACUAUUCACCCAAGAUUAAUAAAACAGUGAAAUCUCGUUUCUUACUA